This 832-nucleotide long non-coding RNA is filed under the name Oryzias javanicus (javanese ricefish). Its description in RNAcentral is "lncRNA (ENSOJAG00000023587.1)". The record is from RNAcentral. Lineage: Eukaryota; Metazoa; Chordata; Actinopteri; Beloniformes; Adrianichthyidae.
GUAGUUGUAGAUGUUGUUGUAGGUGUUGUAGGUGUCACAGUGGUAGUUGUAGUGGUUGUAGUUGUAGGUGUCAAAGUAGUGGUUGUAGUAGUAGUGGUUGUAGUUGUGGAUGUAGUUGUAGUAGUUGGAGGUGUAGUUGUUGGUGUCAAGGUAGUCGUCGUAGUAGAUGUGGAUGUAGUUGUACUUGUUGGUGGAGUUGUAGGUGUCACUGUGGUGGUUGUUGUGGGUGUAGUUGUUGGUGUCAAGGUAGUUGUUGUAGGUGUUGUGGAUGUAGUUGUAGAUGUUGUUGUAGGUGUCACAGUGGUAGUUGUAGUGGUUGUAGUUGUAGGUGUCAAAGUAGUGGUUGUAGUAGUAGUGGUUGUAGUUGUGGAUGUAGUUGUAGUAGUUGGAGGUGUAGUUGUUGGUGUCAAGGUAGUCGUCGUAGUAGAUGUGGAUGUAGUUGUACUUGUUGGUGGAGUUGUAGGUGUCACUGUGGUGGUUGUUGUGGGUUUAGUUGUAGGUGUCAAGGUAGUUGUAGUCGUAGUGGAUGUAGUUGUACUUGUUGGUGGAGUUGUAGGUGUCACUGUGGUGGUUGUUGUGGGUGUAGUUGUUGGUGUCAAGGUAGUUGUUGUAGGUGUUGUGGAUGUAGUUGUAGAUGUUGUUGUAGGUGUUGUAGGUGUCACAGUGGUAGUUGUAGUGGUUGUAGUUGUAGGUGUCAAAGUAGUGGUUGUAGUAGUAGUGGUUGUAGUUGUGGAUGUAGUUGUAGUAGUUGGAGGUGUAGUUGUUGGUGUCAAGGUAGUCGUCGUAAUAGAUGUGGAUGUAGUUGUACUUGUUGGUGGAGUUGUAGGUGUCA